Molecule: non-coding RNA, 25 nt
Filed under: Rattus norvegicus (Norway rat)
Lineage: Eukaryota; Metazoa; Chordata; Mammalia; Rodentia; Muridae
Source: RNAcentral
UGUGGAGCUUUGUGCCAUGGGACUG